Molecule: ribosomal RNA, 253 nt
Filed under: uncultured bacterium
Lineage: Bacteria
Description: partial 16S ribosomal RNA
Rfam family: Bacterial small subunit ribosomal RNA
Source: RNAcentral
UACGUAGGUGGCGAGCGUUGUCCGGAAUUACUGGGCGUAAAGGGCGUGUAGGCGGAUAUUUAAGUCAGAUGUGAAAACCCCGGGCUCAACUUGGGGACUGCAUUUGAUACUGGAUAUCUUGAGGACAGGAGAGGAAAGCGGAAUUCCUAGUGUAGCGGUGAAAUGCGUAGAUAUUAGGAGGAACACCAGUGGCGAAGGCGGCUUUCUGGACUGUAACUGACGCUGAGGCGCGGAAGCGUGGGGGGCGAACGGG